AGUGAACGCUGGCGGUAGGCCUAACACAUGCAAGUCGAACGGCAGCACAGUAAGAGCUUGCUCUUACGGGUGGCGAGUGGCGGACGGGUGAGGAAUACAUCGGAAUCUACUUUUUCGUGGGGGAUAACGUAGGGAAACUUACGCUAAUACCGCAUACGACCUACGGGUGAAAGCUGGGGAUCUUCGGACCUUGCGCGAUUGAAUGAGCCGAUGUCGGAUUAGCUAGUUGGCGGGGUAAAGGCCCACCAAGGCGACGAUCCGUAGCUGGUCUGAGAGGAUGAUCAGCCACACUGGAACUGAGACACGGUCCAGACUCCUACGGGAGGCAGCAGUGGGGAAUAGGACAAUGGGCGCAAGCCUGAUCCAGCCAUACCGCGUGGGUGAAGAAGGCCUUCGGGUUGUAAAGCCCUUUUGUUGGGAAAGAAAAGCAGCAGGUUAAUACCCCGCUGUUCUGACGGUACCCAAAGAAUAAGCACCGGCUAACUUCGUG
This 490-nucleotide ribosomal RNA is filed under the name uncultured bacterium. Its description in RNAcentral is "partial 16S ribosomal RNA". It matches the Rfam family "Bacterial small subunit ribosomal RNA", at positions 29 to 507 of the family's 1533-position model. The record is from RNAcentral.